UUUGAUCCUGGCUCAGGACGAACGCUGGCGGCGUGCCUAAUACAUGCAAGUCGAGCGAUGAUUAAAGAUAGCUUGCUAUUUUUAUGAAGAGCGGCGAACGGGUGAGUAACGCGUGGGAAAUCUGCCGAGUAGCGGGGGACAACGUUUGGAAACGAACGCUAAUACCGCAUAACAAUGAGAAUCGCAUGAUUCUUAUUUAAAAGAAGCAAUUGCUUCACUACUUGAUGAUCCCGCGUUGUAUUAGCUAGUUGGUAGUGUAAAGGACUACCAAGGCGAUGAUACAUAGCCGACCUGAGAGGGUGAUCGGCCACACUGGGACUGAGACACGGCCCAGACUCCUACGGGAGGCAGCAGUAGGGAAUCUUCGGCAAUGGGGGCAACCCUGACCGAGCAACGCCGCGUGAGUGAAGAAGGUUUUCGGAUCGUAAAACUCUGUUGUUAGAGAAGAACGUUAAGUAGAGUGGAAAAUUACUUAAGUGACGGUAUCUAACCAGAAAGGGACGGCUAACUACGUGCCAGCAGCCGCGGUAAU
RNAcentral lists this ribosomal RNA (532 nucleotides) under uncultured bacterium. RNAcentral describes it as "bacterial SSU rRNA". It matches the Rfam family "Bacterial small subunit ribosomal RNA", at positions 12 to 524 of the family's 1533-position model. The record is from RNAcentral.